CGGCUGUGAUGAGGCGCGGGUCCCGGCCCCCAGAUUGUGAUGUCUCAGGGGGCGGUGGGCCGGGUGACGCAACUGGGGGUGGGCCCGUGGGUCCCAGUACCUGGUCCAGGAGGCAGCGUCUCCCUCCCGUCCGGGAUAAGACACCCCCUCCGCGGGUCCCCUGUCCACUCUGGAGAGGCAGCCCCCACUUGGAGGGACCAGGACCCGAGCCCUGCCCAUCCCCGAAUCCUGGGAGCCCUGCGUGGGGAGUGUCGAGGGCCUGGGUCGGGGGGCAAACUAGUGUGGAGCCAACUUUAAUGGAGGACCUAGCAAGUGCCAGGCAGCAUUCUGAGCCCUGGAAUCCGGUGAUGAACAUGACAGACAAGAUUCCUGCCCCCAAGGAGCUGCACCUUAAUAAGUCCCGCAAUGAAGGAGACAGAACAUAAACAGAGGAAAAUACACAAGAUGCCAGCUUGUGAGAAGUGCUAGCAAAAAAAGACACAAGUAUGUCCAGAGAGUCUGAGGUGUAUACAGGUAUACAGAGUUCAAUUCUUCUGGGGCAGAUGGCAGGAAAACGUUCUAAAAAUAAGUACCAUGUUUUUAGUAGAAGCCAUGUCAGAGGCUUGAUGUGCAUUUUUUCUAACUUGUACAACAAACCAUGAGGUAAACAACAUUUUCCUACUUUGUAGAUGGGGAAACUGAUGUUGAGAGAAGUUGAGUCACUUGUCCAAGGUCACACAGCAGGGUGAGGGUGGCCUCACACUGGUGUGUCCCAAAGGGCAUCUGGUGUCCAGUGUUGUUCUCUUGGUAGAGGUGAUGAGGCCUAAUGAAGCCAAGAAAGAUAAGUGGAUGUUUUCCUGGUGGGCAAUGGUCAAGGGAAGUGAAGGGAGCCCGGUGAGCAAAGCUGCUGUGUGUGAAACUGCCUGGUGUGGUCCAGGAGCUCAGUGUAGCCUGGGCCAAGCAUAUGAGCUGGGAGGGAAGGGUGGAGGGCCGGAUCCAGAGGGAGAGUGGGUUCUUGGUUAUGGAGCCACGGCAGGUGCGAGGCUGGGGAGGGACACUGGUAGGCUCCCGUUGAAACUCAGCCAUCUAGAGCCCAUUUUCCCGUAGGCCUCCAGCUCCUCAGCUGCAGGAAGGAGGCUGUAUGGAGUUCAGAGCACAGGCUCUUCAAUCGGACGGCACAGCCUGGAUACGUGGUGGGCUUAGCAAUUUGCUCUUGUGAGAUACAAUGCGAUUUCUCAGUAAAUUCUGCAUCUCAGCUUUGGCUUCAUC
RNAcentral lists this long non-coding RNA (1248 nucleotides) under Homo sapiens (human). RNAcentral's name for it is "non-protein coding LINC02292:10". Lineage: Eukaryota; Metazoa; Chordata; Mammalia; Primates; Hominidae. The record is from RNAcentral.